Triticum aestivum (bread wheat) is the source of this 1105-nucleotide long non-coding RNA. RefSeq lists it as uncharacterized. NCBI's taxonomy places the organism in Eukaryota, Viridiplantae, Streptophyta, Magnoliopsida, Poales, Poaceae. The transcript is spliced from 2 exons. The record is from RefSeq and is a predicted model, not a curated record.
UGGACGGUAAAUUUGUGGCAACCCCGCUCGGAUACGAAGGCCUGUCUGGGGUGCUUGGCAGCACAGGAAAUAUGUGCAAGUGAAAUGUUCCAAUGGCGAUCAACUAGAAGGGACAUAGUGUCAACACGAACGGUGAUUACAUAUCCAUGCAACACAAGAUUUAAUUUAAGAGGGGUUUUACGGUGCAAAUUACUAGUCACGGGAGAGACUAGUAUUUGAACAGAUCCACCGUUGAUUUCAAGGGUAAUCUAGGCACUUUAUAUUAGAUUUUUUUUCUCUUAGCCCAAGGGCAGUUUAGUCCGAUAAAAAGUUUACUAAUCAACUGAAAGUCCCGACUGAAUCGGCCCCUACACCUGCAUUCACGUCACCCAAGCCCUAAUUGCCGCUCUCUCGCCGCUGCCUGCCGCUGCCGCGCCGUCCGCCUCGGGAUCCUUCCUGCCCGUCUGUUCCGGCCACCGCAGCCUGCCGCUGCCGCGCCGUCCGCCUCGGGAUCCUUCCUGCCCGUCUGUUCCGGCCACCGCAGCCCACUCGUCGCUCUCGCCGCCAUUUGUCGCUUCCGCGCCGUCCGCCUCCGAUCCUUCCUGCCCGUCCGUUUCGUCCGCCGCAGCCGACCCGUGGCUCUCGCCGCCGGCUGCCGUGCCUUCCACGUCCGGAACCUUCCUGCCCGUCUGUUCCGUCUGCCUCUAACAGGAGCUGUGGCCGCCACUUGCCGCUGCACUACCGCCGGCUAAUCAGCUGUCACCGUUAGCUCCGCCUGUUCAUCCGUCUCUACCACUGCUGGUCGGCCUGCAGAAAGUUACACAACAUGGAUGCUCACCACGUCAGCAUAGAGGAAAUUGAAGAAUAUUACACGGUGGUUAGUCAAACAUUCACAAGCGAGGAACAAGGUUUCGAGUUCUAUAAUAGAUAUGCUAAAGCCAAAGGGUUCAGCGUGAGGAAGGCCAAUGUGAAAAACAAGGGAGGCAUAAGAAUCCAAAGGUUGUACAUGUGCAGCAAAGAAGGAUAUAGGUCCUUGAAAAACUUUGAAAGGUCCAACCGGAAAAGGAAACCAAGGGCACUCUCUCGUUGUGGAUGUGACGCUCGACUGCAAAUCGAGCUCAAUAUG